GUUGAACAUCCCUGAGAGUCACGUGUAGCAUUGACCCCAUGAAUGUCUACAUCCCUCAUGGUUCCUGUGGGACCAGGGUUCCACGACAUCUAAAAGGGCUGCCUCUGUCAACAGGACAGACAUGCACACAGGUCUCAGGCUUCCCUCAUCUUUGAUCUCUUCAUCACCUCCAAACUGCUUUCUGACUGUCUUUUAGAAGAACUGCAACAACUGUAAAUCCACUGGGAGAUGGGAGAAUGGAGAUAAGGGGAGGAAGAGGGGAAAGGAGGUGGAGAGGAUGAAGAGGAAAUGAGAGGACCUGUGGAGAGGGUCAGAAUGUGUCCAGAGGAGAUUACCUGAAAUGAGUCAGGAGAAAAGGAUGUUGUCCUGGGUAGGGUUCUUGAGGAAGCGAGACCAGGUACAAAUGUCUCAAGCAGAGCAGAGUGAGACUCUCGUUUCAACUCUGGCAUUCUAUUGUCAGCUAUGAGGAGGGAAGGUCCUGUUCUGAUCACUCUGAGCAUAAGUCAAGGUAGAGAACUAUGAGGCUGCUUUGGAUAGGGAUUCCCAUUCUGGGCUUCUGAUGAAGGGUACAUUAGAGAGAAGGGUGGCUUCAUCAUUCAGUGGGGUCCUAUUCUGGUCUUAUCACAAGGCCUUUGGCAGUUCUGAUGACAUCUGUGUCUUUGUCCUUAGAGGCUCCUUUAUCCAGGCUUCCCAUGUUGCCUCCCACCUCCUGAUUCAGAAUCUUGCAUCAUUUACCCAUGUCAUGGAGAGAUUUGUACCUGAUAUUAAUAUUGUUCUGCUCCAGCAUGGGUAGUUAAGUAGGCAUUGCCAGGCCUGAUGCUGAGUAUUGCCUCUUCAAGGCCAGCAUCCAUGUGACUGCUUCAUGACCAAUGCCCACCGUUUGGGUCAGGCUUACAAGUAAACCUUGAUCAUCACCAGGAGCUCUAAUGACAGCCUCUGGUGCAGAGUGAAGCAAUGGUCAGUGUAGGAUCUGAACUGGAUUCCAGGACACCUUACAGGUAGGAAGCAACUCACUGAUUUAACAAGAGGAAAUGAACUCAACAGGGACUCCAGGAUACUAAUCUGUGUGAAUCAUGCACCUGAAGGUAAGACUGAGUACAGUAAGUAUCUGUUUCUGGUAGAAGAUGAGUCUCUGAAGCCUGGUCUUGAUGUGGUGAAAUCCCAUGAAGUGCCCUGUGCCAGCAGCUCUGACACAGAGGGAAAGUUUUCAUUUACUUGCUCAACUGAAGAGCAAUGGGAGACUGAGAGACUGCAGAGGUGUGAAAAGGGAGGAACCAGCUUCUCUGCUGUAGUCAGCCUCCAGCUCCACUCUGAUCAUCUGACCCUGGGCUGUUAGCAAACACUGAUGAAUAUUAAAGGCUUUGUCCAGAUCUUCCCAGCAGGAUGAUGGCCAGCUUGUGCUGUCACUUACUUCUACAUCCCUGACUAGAUCUGUGUUCUGACUAGGCUGGAAAUCUGUGUCCUGUGUGAUGAUAUGUUAGGGCUACAGGUUCCAGUAUCCCAUGUGCACACAAGAAGACCCAGUCCGCUUGAUUAGAGAGAGAGAGAAUUUUUUCAGUUUGUGGGUAUCACCUGGUGUCAGACUAUAUUUCUGUGGCCUAUCAGUGAAGGUAGGUUUUAAGACAUGGUUGAGGAGUCUGUUGAAUUCUAGAAAUGAGAUAUGGAAAUUUCCUGAAUACUCAUUUGAUAGUUUACUUUUUUUGAGAUUGGUUUUCACUCUAUAACCCUGGCUAUCCAGAGAAACUCUGUAUAGAACAUGCAGCUCUCAAACUCACAGUGAUUGACCCCUUUCUCUGCCUCCUGAGAGCAGCAUUUAAAGAUAUGGACUCCCAUGGCUGGCUUCAAGUACUGGACAGCAUCAAAUGUAAAUUCCUCCAAACAUUUGAAGCAGAAGAAGACAAUUCUGUGCUUCUUUCAUCCUGACAGGGUCAGGGAUUGAACUGAAGGUUCUGUCAUCCAGGAUGGACUACAAACAGCAGCAAAGUCCAAAUAUAACCUUCAGGAUAGAAGUCUAUGUCCACCAGUGAACAGAUACCUGCAGGUGAGAACUGCUGCCAUGAAUUCUUCUGGGGACCCUGGUCAGUGUGCUGGAGCAAGUAUGCCCUAGCUGAAACAUCCUUGGAAACAAGGCACAGAGCAUGCAAAGGCUACUUUCUAACCUUUUCUCAGGAUCCCCACCUGCAGUCCAGAUAUCCCAUGACUUCAACCUGACCAAUCAGGAGAGUUCAGAUUGGCUACCUGGUCUGAUGGAUUGAGUUCUUUCCAUUUGAGCCAUGAGAUCACAGCUGAGGACUCAAGGUGAUGAGCUCUAUACAUCAGGAGACACAGGGUGGCCAUUUGAGGUGUGGUCUGUGACAACAGAAGUAGGAGCUCUGCAGGAAGUCCAGAUGGCAGUGUGCCCACUUCCCCAGCAUACAGGGUCUCUGUCCAGCACAGGAGGAGGAAAGUGACAGCAAGCUGUAAGAAAAUGGGUACCACUUAGGAUGGAAUGCUGGGACUUUGCUCCAGUUCGGAACCCAUAGCUGGUCUGUUUGUCAAUGAACGACCACUAAGGCAAGCUUCACCCUGAUGCGAUUGGAUACUGUGCCAGGCAUUGAAUCUCUCAGGAGACAGCCCAUGUGGACCAAGACUCCAAGCCCUGGUGAUGAUGGUCUCUAAGAAUGUGACUCUCAGGAAGCAGAGCUGAUGCCCAAGAGC
Peromyscus leucopus (white-footed mouse) is the source of this 2697-nucleotide long non-coding RNA. RefSeq lists it as uncharacterized. The transcript has 4 exons. NCBI's taxonomy places the organism in Eukaryota, Metazoa, Chordata, Mammalia, Rodentia, Cricetidae. The record is from RefSeq and is a predicted model, not a curated record.